AGUGUAGCUAUAGAAACUGAGCUUGAUAGAGCAACACUUAUUCUGUGUGACACAGGAAUAACCUUUGACUGGGCAAAAGUGCUUCUGGUAUUUUGGAGUGAGAACUUCUGGAGUUCAGAACCUUCUCUGGAUUCUGAAGAAUUCUCUCUUACCCCAAUUCUUCAUCUGCAACUCCAUGGCUCUUUCUAUGGCCUGUCUGUAUCUUUCAUCAUCUUUCUUGAGACUGCUGGAACCUCUCUCAGAACUUCAGAAAAGGAGUCAGGGAUAAAUCUUUUGAUUUACCACAUCCAAAGUGAACUAGGUAGUAGGAGAUCUUGGCUACAUAGGUGACAGGACAGCAGCAUUUCUGGCAUUGAGUAUGGAAUGUCCCCAGAGCAAGGACUUCUUGUCUCUUCCAAGUGAUAUACUAGAUCCCUCCCCUUCCUCUUAGAUAUGCCAUGGGGCUAUGUGGACUGAAAAGUGAUGAACCAGAGAGAGAGCUGGAAAGCAAAAUGAACUCUCUGACACAGCAGGAAGGGAAAUUACCCUGGU
This 531-nucleotide small RNA is filed under the name Pan troglodytes (chimpanzee). RNAcentral describes it as "retained intron". Lineage: Eukaryota; Metazoa; Chordata; Mammalia; Primates; Hominidae. The record is from RNAcentral.